This 76-nucleotide transfer RNA is filed under the name bacterium BMS3Abin08. RNAcentral's name for it is "tRNA-Lys". It matches the Rfam family "tRNA". Rfam says of the family: Transfer RNA (tRNA) molecules are approximately 80 nucleotides in length. Their secondary structure includes four short double-helical elements and three loops (D, anti-codon, and T loops). RNAcentral also lists the same sequence under 5 other names. The record is from RNAcentral.
GGGCCGCUAGCUCAGUCGGCAGAGCACCGCCCUUUUAAGGCGGGUGUGCCGGGUUCGAACCCCGGGCGGCUCACCA